RNAcentral lists this ribosomal RNA (230 nucleotides) under uncultured microorganism. RNAcentral describes it as "partial 16S ribosomal RNA". It matches the Rfam family "Bacterial small subunit ribosomal RNA", at positions 524 to 753 of the family's 1533-position model. The record is from RNAcentral.
UACGUAUGUCGCAAGCGUUAUCCGGAAUUAUUGGGCAUAAAGGGCAUCUAGGCGGCCCUGUAAGUCUAGGGUGAAAACCUGCGGCUCAACCGCAGGCCUGCCCCGGAAACUACAGGGCUAGAGUAUCGGAGAGGUGGACGGAACUGCACGAGUAGAGGUGAAAUUCGUAGAUAUGUGCAGGAAUGCCGAUGAUGAAGAUAGUUCACUGGACGGUAACUGACGCUGAAGUG